Molecule: transfer RNA, 77 nt
Filed under: Verrucomicrobia bacterium ADurb.Bin474
Lineage: Bacteria; Pseudomonadati; Verrucomicrobiota
Also listed under: 1 other name
Description: tRNA-Val
Rfam family: tRNA
About the family: Transfer RNA (tRNA) molecules are approximately 80 nucleotides in length. Their secondary structure includes four short double-helical elements and three loops (D, anti-codon, and T loops).
Source: RNAcentral
GGGCGGUUAGCUCAGUUGGUUAGAGCAACUGGUUUACACCCAGUAGGUCGAGGGUUCGAGUCCCCCACCGCCCACCA